GAACACAGGUGCUGCAUGGCUGUCGUCAGCUCGUGUCGUGAGAUGUUGGGUUAAGUCCCGCAACGAGCGCAACCCUUGUCAUUAAUUGCCAUCAUUCAGUUGGGCACUUUAAUGAGACUGCCGGUGAUAAACCGGAGGAAGGUGGGGAUGACGUCAAGUCCUCAUGGCCCUUAUGGGUAGGGCUUCACACGUAAUACAAUGGUCGGUACAGAGGGUUGCCAACCCGCGAGGGGGAGCUAAUCUCAGAAAGCCGAUCGUAGUCCGGAUUGUUCUCUGCAACUCGAGAGCAUGAAGUCGGAAUCG
This 303-nucleotide ribosomal RNA is filed under the name uncultured bacterium. RNAcentral describes it as "bacterial SSU rRNA". It matches the Rfam family "Bacterial small subunit ribosomal RNA", at positions 1030 to 1334 of the family's 1533-position model. The record is from RNAcentral.